This is a long non-coding RNA of Cannabis sativa, 1932 nucleotides long. RefSeq lists it as uncharacterized. The transcript is spliced from 3 exons. The record is from RefSeq and is a predicted model, not a curated record. NCBI's taxonomy places the organism in Eukaryota, Viridiplantae, Streptophyta, Magnoliopsida, Rosales, Cannabaceae.
UUGUAACUGGUUUCUUUUUUACUAUUAAUUUCAUUUUUUUUAUUUGAAUGUACUACUAACUGAUUUUUGUUUUUGUUUUGUUUUGUUUUUCUUUUUUGUAGGUGAUACCAAUGGCAGUAUGUGUUUUUAUUUAUUUGGUUUGUAAAGCUGUGGGUUAUUGCACGUUCUUCGGUUGUGGCCAACUUUUCCGCACCUUGUGCAUUUCAAGACAACUUUUGGUUCUCCUUUUGAUCUUAUUCUUUUCUUUCUAGGUCUCCCAGCUGGUUUUCUUGAUUUUGGUGGCCACACUAUUCUUUCCAUGCUCUCAGGUAUAGUCCAUUCUCUUUCAUUUAGUAGAUGAUGUACAGUUCUUUCAUAGGUUGCCUUCAUUGUUGCUGUUUUGUAGUAAUCGGCAACAUAGUCAUAAGCUCUUAAUCCUCUUUUUGCAAAUACAACUAUUGCAUGUGAGCAUGGUAUCUCAUCUAGUUGGAACCUUCUACAGCUGCAUUUUCUUUCCAGUAUGUUGAUUGUGAAAUCACCUUUUUCUUGCACCUUUACUUGGUAUUGGAUUGUUGUGAUUGCGAUGACCUUUUUUUUUUUUUUUUGAAAUAUAAGAUAUGUGUUAAAAACCGAUUUUUCAUGAUGAUCAAGAAACAGGUUUUUUAAUAACUGUUGUUUUCUAUGAUUUAGUUAUUGUACCUGGUAUUUCAUUGCUUUAAGCAGAUUGUCUCUCAGUAGUUUUUCAGCAUCUGAUGCUACUUCAGUAAAUAUUUCAUGUGCUUCAUUGCCAAUUUUUCACACCCAUUUUUGUACAAGGCUUCUGAAGCACUCAAUCAUUGUUGUUAUAGGUAAUGAUCUUGCAGCUAGGAUCGUCGAAUUUAUUGAUUCUGCUAUGUUUGAAGUCAUCAUUGUGUACCUUCUUGUAGGGGAGUGGCUCCUGGUCCAAACCUCAUGUCCAAUUUUCUCAAGGUAUGGUCUUAUUCGUUUGUCGAUUCUAUCUAUCUCUGCCAUGUAUCUCUCAAAUGAGGUGAGCUUGUACGUCUUUGCUGCCUUUACAAAGUUUAUGGUCAGAUCGUCUCCAUGCACUCCAAAGUUUGUUUUGAUGUUGUUUAGCAGGUCUAAGAUGCAUGCUCUGUGGAAGUGGUUUGGGUAGACAUUGCUCACCGCCUUCUCUAUACUCUUAUGCCUGUCUGAUAUCAUUGUCAAACAUGUUCACAGAAACCAGUUUUUACAAGAUCAGUAGGUUGAUCGGUGCUCUGAGCUUAAGAAUUCGUUUUCUGCUUUAAGGUGAGAGCUUCAUUGCUUGUCAGGUGCCGAUGUUGCAGGUUGCUUCUGUGUGUAUGGCCAUGGCCAUGGCUGUUUUUCAGAUCAGUUUUGUUUGAAUCAGAGGAAUAAUUUGCACAAGGAGAAGAGAUGAAUUGAAUCGGAGAACAUGAAGAAGUGAAUCGCAGGCCAGUCGAAUCGCAGUAGAGAGAGAGAAUCGUAGGAGAGAGAAGUGAGAAUCGCAGUAGAGAGAGAGAGAGGAUUUUGUUUAUAUAUGGUUAAAAAUAGUAAAUUUUAUUCAUUUAAAAUUAGUUUUUGUUUUUAACUUAUUUUAUGGUUUUUUUAAAAAAAAAAAACCAUAUUUGUAGUUUGCUUCCUUAGUUAAUGCCAUAUUUUGUGGCAUUUAGUUUUGUUGCCAUAUUUAUCAUAAGAUGGCUCAUUUUUUUCAUAUUUUUGAAAAUAUCCCAUAAUAAUAUUUCUAAGUAACAUUAAAUAUUGUAUUGACUCUAUCUCUCUUUGUUACGCAAACUAUUGGUCUUGUUUGUUUGCCUUGUCGAAGGCUGUUGAGUUUCCUGUUUGGUCUCCUCUUUCGGAAGAUUGGGUCAAAAUUAAUUGUGAUGUUAAAGUUGAUUACGGAUCCAUGUGUGUGGUGGCUUUAGUUGUUUUGUGGGUGGCUACAAACAUGCUUAA